UGCAGCCCUCCCCCAACCCCCUUGCCCACUGUGUCCCCAGGACCUGGUGUCCAAGAUGCUACACGUGGAUCCCCACCAGCGCCUCACAGCUAAGCAGGUUCUGCAGCAUCCAUGGGUCACCCAGAAAGACAAGCUUCCCCAAAGCCAGCUGUCCCACCAGGACCUACAGCUUGUGAAGGUAUGGCCACCCUUGGGCUGCUGGGCAUCUGGGGGGUCAGCCCAAGGUGGCAUGGUCAGGGACUUGUGGAAGAGCCAGGCAAUGCCAUGUCUGUACCAAGCACCAUGAGGUGGAACAUAGGAGAAGAAGACACAGCCCUGCCGUCAGGGAGCCUAACAUGCUACAGUGUCACGGUGCACUCACAGCCCCCAAUCCUCUGGAAGGCACAGCUGCUGACCUCUGAACCCUCCAGUCUGAUGGGG
This 420-nucleotide long non-coding RNA is filed under the name Homo sapiens (human). RNAcentral's name for it is "long non-coding RNA NONHSAT148571". Lineage: Eukaryota; Metazoa; Chordata; Mammalia; Primates; Hominidae. The record is from RNAcentral.